GACGAACGCUGGCGGCGUGCCUAACACAUGCAAGUCGAACGGAGAAUUAGCAAUAAUUCUUAGUGGCGAACGGGUGAGUAACGCGUAGACAACCUACCCUUUAGAUGGGGACAACACCGCGAAAGUGGUGCUAAUACCGAAUAUUGCUUGAGAAGCGCAUGCUUUUCAAACUAAAGAUGGCCUCUAUUUAUAAGCUAUCGCUAAAGAAUGGGUCUGCGUCUGAUUAGCUAGUUGGUGAGAUAAAAGCUCACCAAGGCAACGAUCAGUAGCGGGUGUGGGGGGAGGAACGGCCACACGGGGACUGAGACACGGACCAGACUCCGACGGGAGGCAGCGGGGGGGAAUCUUCCGAAAUGGACGAAAGUCUGACGGAGCAAGGCCGCGUGGGUGAUGAAGGUUUUCGGAUCGAAAAACUUUGUUUUUAAGGACAAAUGUAUAGAUUGUGAAUAAUGGUUUAUAAUGACGGUACUUAACGAGGAAGCCACGGCUAACUACGUGCCAGCCGCCGCAGUAA
This 514-nucleotide ribosomal RNA is filed under the name uncultured bacterium. Its description in RNAcentral is "partial 16S ribosomal RNA". It matches the Rfam family "Bacterial small subunit ribosomal RNA", at positions 28 to 523 of the family's 1533-position model. The record is from RNAcentral.